Molecule: long non-coding RNA, 228 nt
Filed under: Lathyrus oleraceus (garden pea)
Lineage: Eukaryota; Viridiplantae; Streptophyta; Magnoliopsida; Fabales; Fabaceae
Description: Pisum sativum (pea) long non-coding RNA (PSAT_LNC014381)
Source: RNAcentral
CGGAUUCAUUUUUGACGUUUCCCCAUGCGGUCUAUCCUUGAUAUGUUCAUCCCAGCCGAUGACAGAUAUUCUCCCUUUGUGGUUUUCUACCCAGUAAAAAGGUAGUUGUAAUAUCUAUUUUAUUCCCUAGGGAGUUAAUCCUUGAUAUGUUCAUCUUAACCAAUGACGAAUUUUCUCCUCUCUUCGGUCUUCUGCCGAGUAACCGGUAGUUGUAAAUCCUGCUUUCCC